This 132-nucleotide small RNA is filed under the name Escherichia coli. RNAcentral describes it as "RtT sRNA". It matches the Rfam family "RtT RNA". From Rfam's summary of the family: This family represents a bacterial cis-regulatory element known as RtT RNA. Lineage: Bacteria; Pseudomonadati; Pseudomonadota; Gammaproteobacteria; Enterobacterales; Enterobacteriaceae. The record is from RNAcentral.
GUUUGCACUCAUCGGGGAAGGGUGAGAACCUUCGACUAAGGUUCGAUUCGAGCGAAAGCGAGAGAACGUUGCCACAGGCAACGGCCCGAAGGGUGAGGAGCGAAGCGACGAAUAAUCCUUCCCCCACCCCAU